UACGGGGGGGGCAAGAGGUGUUCGGAAUUACUGGGCGUAAAGGGCGCGUAGGCGGGUGGACAAGUCUCUCGUGAAAGCCCACGGCUCAACCGUGGAAUUGCGGGAGAUACUGUCUGUCUUGAGUCCGGGAGAGGAGGGUGGAAUUCCCAGUGUAGCGGUGAAAUGCGUAGAUAUUGGGAGGAACACAGGUGGCGAAGGCGGCUCUCUGGACCGGUACUGACGCUGAGGCGCGAAAGCUAGGGGAGCAAACAGG
RNAcentral lists this ribosomal RNA (253 nucleotides) under uncultured bacterium. RNAcentral describes it as "partial 16S ribosomal RNA". It matches the Rfam family "Bacterial small subunit ribosomal RNA", at positions 524 to 776 of the family's 1533-position model. The record is from RNAcentral.